GGGUUGUGAGGUUAAGCGACUAAGCGUACACGGUGGAUGCCCUGGCAGUCAGAGGCGAUGAAGGACGUGCUAAUCUGCGAAAAGCGCCGGCGAGGUGAUAUGAACCUUUGACCCGGCGAUGUCCGAAUGGGGAAACCCAGUGUGAUUCGUCACACUAUCGUUAACUGAAUACAUAGGUUAACGAGGCGAACCGGGGGAACUGAAACAUCUAAGUACCCCGAGGAAAAGAAAUCAACCGAGAUUCCCCCAGUAGCGGCGAGCGAACGGGGAGCAGCCCAGAGUCUGAAUCAGCUUGUGUGUUAGUGGAAGCGUCUGGAAAGUCGCACGGUACAGGGUGACAGUCCCGUACACGAAAAUGCACAGGUUGUGAACUCGAAGAGUAGGGCGGGACACGUGGUAUCCUGUCUGAAUAUGGGGGGACCAUCCUCCAAGGCUAAAUACUCCUGACUGACCGAUAGUGAACCAGUACCGUGAGGGAAAGGCGAAAAGAACCCCGGCGAGGGGAGUGAAAAAGAACCUGAAACCGUGUACGUACAAGCAGUGGGAGCACCUUCGUGGUGUGACUGCGUACCUUUUGUAUAAUGGGUCAGCGACUUAUAUUCUGUAGCAAGGUUAACCGUAUAGGGGAGCCGAAGGGAAACCGAGUCUUAACUGGGCGUUAAGUUGCAGGGUAUAGACCCGAAACCCGGUGAUCUAGCCAUGGGCAGGUUGAAGGUUGGGUAACACUAACUGGAGGACCGAACCGACUAAUGUUGAAAAAUUAGCGGAUGACUUGUGGCUGGGGGUGAAAGGCCAAUCAAACCGGGAGAUAGCUGGUUCUCCCCGAAAGCUAUUUAGGUAGCGCCUCGUGAACUCAUCUUCGGGGGUAGAGCACUGUUUCGGCUAGGGGGCCAUCCCGGCUUACCAACCCGAUGCAAACUACGAAUACCGAAGAAUGUUAUCACGGGAGACACACGGCGGGUGCUAACGUCCGUCGUGAAGAGGGAAACAACCCAGACCGCCAGCUAAGGUCCCAAAGUCAUGGUUAAGUGGGAAACGAUGUGGGAAGGCACAGACAGCCAGGAUGUUGGCUUAGAAGCAGCCAUCAUUUAAAGAAAGCGUAAUAGCUCACUGGUCGAGUCGGCCUGCGCGGAAGAUGUAACGGGGCUAAACCAUGCACCGAAGCUGCGGCAGCGACACUAUGUGUUGUUGGGUAGGGGAGCGUUCUGUAAGCCGUUGAAGGUGGCCUGUGAGGGUUGCUGGAGGUAUCAGAAGUGCGAAUGCUGACAUAAGUAACGAUAAAGCGGGUGAAAAGCCCGCUCGCCGGAAGACCAAGGGUUCCUGUCCAACGUUAAUCGGGGCAGGGUGAGUCGACCCCUAAGGCGAGGCCGAAAGGCGUAGUCGAUGGGAAACAGGUUAAUAUUCCUGUACUUGGUGUUACUGCGAAGGGGGGACGGAGAAGGCUAUGUUAGCCGGGCGACGGUUGUCCCGGUUUAAGCAUGUAGGCGGAACGAUUAGGUAAAUCCGGUCGUUUAUUAACGCUGAGGUGUGAUGACGAGGCACUACGGUGCUGAAGUAACAAAUGCCCUGCUUCCAGGAAAAGCCUCUAAGCAUCAGGUAACAUCAAAUCGUACCCCAAACCGACACAGGUGGUCAGGUAGAGAAUACCAAGGCGCUUGAGAGAACUCGGGUGAAGGAACUAGGCAAAAUGGUGCCGUAACUUCGGGAGAAGGCACGCUGAUAUGUAGGUGAAGCCCCUGCGGGUGGAGCUGAAAUCAGUCGAAGAUACCAGCUGGCUGCAACUGUUUAUUAAAAACACAGCACUGUGCAAACACGAAAGUGGACGUAUACGGUGUGACGCCUGCCCGGUGCCGGAAGGUUAAUUGAUGGGGUUAGCGGUAACGCGAAGCUCUUGAUCGAAGCCCCGGUAAACGGCGGCCGUAACUAUAACGGUCCUAAGGUAGCGAAAUUCCUUGUCGGGUAAGUUCCGACCUGCACGAAUGGCGUAAUGAUGGCCAGGCUGUCUCCACCCGAGACUCAGUGAAAUUGAACUCGCUGUGAAGAUGCAGUGUACCCGCGGCAAGACGGAAAGACCCCGUGAACCUUUACUAUAGCUUGACACUGAACACUGGUCCUUGAUGUGUAGGAUAGGUGGGAGGCUUUGAAGUGUGGACGCCAGUCUGCAUGGAGCCGUCCUUGAAAUACCACCCUUUAAUGGCUGGUGUUCUAACGUAGACCCGUAAUCCGGGUUGCGGACAGUGUCUGGUGGGUAGUUUGACUGGGGCGGUCUCCUCCCAAAGAGUAACGGAGGAGCACGAAGGUUAGCUAAUCCUGGUCGGACAUCAGGAGGUUAGUGCAAUGGCAUAAGCUAGCUUGACUGCGAGAGUGACGGCUCGAGCAGGUGCGAAAGCAGGUCAUAGUGAUCCGGUGGUUCUGAAUGGAAGGGCCAUCGCUCAACGGAUAAAAGGUACUCCGGGGAUAACAGGCUGAUACCGCCCAAGAGUUCAUAUCGACGGCGGUGUUUGGCACCUCGAUGUCGGCUCAUCACAUCCUGGGGCUGAAGUAGGUCCCAAGGGUAUGGCUGUUCGCCAUUUAAAGUGGUACGCGAGCUGGGUUUAGAACGUCGUGAGACAGUUCGGUCCCUAUCUGCCGUGGGCGCUGGAGAAUUGAGGGGGGCUGCUCCUAGUACGAGAGGACCGGAGUGGACGCAUCACUGGUGUUCGGGUUGUCAUGCCAAUGGCACUGCCCGGUAGCUAAAUGCGGAAAAGAUAAGUGCUGAAAGCAUCUAAGCACGAAACUUGCCCCGAGAUGAGUUCUCCCUGAGACUUUAAGUCUCCUGAAGGAACGUUGAAGACGACGACGUUGAUAGGUCGGGUGUGUAAGCGCAGCGAUGCGUUGAGCUAACCGAUACUAAUGAACCGUGAGGCUUAACCUUACAACGCCGAAG
This 2926-nucleotide ribosomal RNA is filed under the name Enterobacter cloacae. RNAcentral describes it as "23S ribosomal RNA". It matches the Rfam family "Bacterial large subunit ribosomal RNA". The record is from RNAcentral. Lineage: Bacteria; Pseudomonadati; Pseudomonadota; Gammaproteobacteria; Enterobacterales; Enterobacteriaceae.